AUUACUUUGGCAGAUUAGUGUAUUAAAUUUAGAAUUUAAAAAUGUAUUUUAUACAGGUAAUA
This 62-nucleotide transfer RNA is filed under the name Tetartopeus terminatus. Its description in RNAcentral is "tRNA-Leu". The record is from RNAcentral. Lineage: Eukaryota; Metazoa; Arthropoda; Insecta; Coleoptera; Staphylinidae.